AUGUUUCUAUACUAUUUGUAAAAGAAAACACCUUAAGGACUUUCAAAUCAAUUUAAAAUGGUGUAUUGUUCUAUAAUAAUGACUUUUUUGACAAAUUUGCUUCAAAGCUGUGUAAACAUUUUUUUUUCACAUUGCAUCGUUGAUUUGCUUUUCAUAAACCUGUGUACACUUCUGUAGUAAAAAUCUCUAAAUUGUGCUCAGAUAGGCCCAACAGAUUAUUGAUGUUGGUAUGUGUGAAGGCUUGUGUUGCUACAGAAAACCAAAUUAGAGACCUGCUCUUUUCAUUUGUUUUCAAAGUUACUGCAUUGAUGCUGAGUUUAGCUUAUAUUUUAGGGUAACUGCAAAAGUAGACAAUUGGGGUAUCUCACAUUGUGUAUAUUGGGGCCAUUUAAGUAUUAAACAGUACUGUAAUUACACUGUGCAGCAUUUUUCUUUGACAAAUCUUUCC
Molecule: non-coding RNA, 448 nt
Organism: Pelobates cultripes (western spadefoot toad)
Lineage: Eukaryota; Metazoa; Chordata; Amphibia; Anura; Pelobatidae
Source: the annotation of a GenBank genome assembly